CCUACGGGAGGCAGCAGUGAGGAAUAUUGGUCAAUGGACGAGAGUCUGAACCAGCCAAGUAGCGUGAAGGAUGACUGCCCUAUGGGUUGUAAACUUCUUUUAUAUGGGAAUAAAACAGGGUAUGCAUACCAUCUUGUAUGUACCAUAUGAAUAAGGAUCGGCUAACUCCGUGCCAGCAGCCGCGGUUAUACGGAGGAUCCGAGCGUUAUCCGGAUUUAUUGGGUUUAAAGGGAGCGUAGGUGGAUUGUUAAGUCAGGUGUGAAAGUUUGGGGCUCAACUGUAAAAUUACAGUUGAAACUGGCAGUCUUGAGUACAGUAGAGGUGGGCGGAAUUCGUGGUGUAGCGGUGAAAUGCUUAGAUAUCACGAAGAACUCCGAUUGCGAAGGCAGCUCACUGGACUGCAACUGACGCUGAGGCUCGAAAGUGUGGGGAUCAAACAGGAUUAGAUACCCCAGUAGUC
Molecule: ribosomal RNA, 460 nt
Filed under: uncultured bacterium
Lineage: Bacteria
Description: partial 16S ribosomal RNA
Rfam family: Bacterial small subunit ribosomal RNA
Source: RNAcentral